UACGGUCAAAUCUCAUUGAGACACCGUUUCGCGUACGAAAACUGAAGUUAAGCAACGUUGACCCAGGUCAGUACCUAGAUGAGUCCCCGCUUGGGAAUAUUAGGUGUUAUA
Non-coding RNA from Acanthosepion pharaonis, 111 nucleotides. The record is from the annotation of a GenBank genome assembly. NCBI's taxonomy places the organism in Eukaryota, Metazoa, Mollusca, Cephalopoda, Sepiida, Sepiidae.